ACAAAAACCGUGACCACCACUUCGGCUAUCCUGCUGAACACGGGCUAUUUAAAGACGACGUCCGGAAUCCUCAAGAUCUUGCAACUGAUUCUGGGAUGCGUCAUCGUCAGAUUGGUCGCCCACUAUUUCGUCCGCAGCAACCCGUAUUACUUCACGGCGGAGCUAUUUCUAUUAUUGAUCGCCACAACCUGUUUGAUCAGGACGACCUGCUUACUGAUAAGCUGCCUUUUGUCCAUCUCAACGGCCACCAUUAUCGCCAAGACCAGGUUUGUAAGUUUGAAUUU
Molecule: long non-coding RNA, 284 nt
Organism: Daphnia pulicaria
Lineage: Eukaryota; Metazoa; Arthropoda; Branchiopoda; Diplostraca; Daphniidae
Exons: 3
Source: RefSeq, a predicted model, not a curated record